This 484-nucleotide ribosomal RNA is filed under the name uncultured Anaplasma sp. RNAcentral describes it as "bacterial SSU rRNA". It matches the Rfam family "Bacterial small subunit ribosomal RNA", at positions 48 to 558 of the family's 1533-position model. The record is from RNAcentral. Lineage: Bacteria; Pseudomonadati; Pseudomonadota; Alphaproteobacteria; Rickettsiales; Anaplasmataceae.
UUAACACAUGCAAGUCGAACGGAUUAUUCUUUAUAGCUUGCUAUAAAGAAUAAUUAGUGGCAGACGGGUGAGUAAUGCAUAGGAAUCUACCUAGUAGUAUGGGAUAGCCACUAGAAAUGGUGGGUAAUACUGUAUAAUCCCUGCGGGGGAAAGAUUUAUCGCUAUUAGAUGAGCCUAUGUUAGAUUAGCUAGUUGGUAGGGUAAAGGCCUACCAAGGCGAUGAUCUAUAGCUGGUCUGAGAGGAUGAUCAGCCACACUGGAACUGAGAUACGGUCCAGACUCCUACGGGAGGCAGCAGUGGGGAAUAUUGGACAAUGGGCGCAAGCCUGAUCCAGCUAUGCCGCGUGAGUGAGGAAGGCCUUAGGGUUGUAAAACUCUUUCAGUAGGGAAGAUAAUGACGGUACCUACAGAAGAAGUCCCGGCAAACUCCGUGCCAGCAGCCGCGGUAAUACGGAGGGGGCAAGCGUUGUUCGGAAUUAUUGGG